This 318-nucleotide ribosomal RNA is filed under the name Triticum aestivum (bread wheat). RNAcentral's name for it is "partial small subunit ribosomal RNA". Lineage: Eukaryota; Viridiplantae; Streptophyta; Magnoliopsida; Poales; Poaceae. The record is from RNAcentral.
AUGACCGGGCGGGCUAUCUGGAUAUUCGAGACCGGCAUGAGGCGCACUAGAUGCUCUUAUAGAGUACAUGAACUUUGGCACCCACUGCGUGUGAUGACUCCAUCGUCAUCGACGAGGUCAUUGGAUCACUAUACGCCCACAGCCACAGCACAGCAGAUCAUGUUCCCUUUCCUGUCAACUCUGUUGACCCGGACUCGUGUGCGAAUUGGGGAGCCGCCUGUUGACCGCUGCUCAUUUCGGUCCAAUCCCGCAGCACACCUACCCUGUCUGGUCUUCUCCACGCGUACGCGCGCCACCAACCCCACCUCACACCGCUAA